GAUUAUAUUAAAGUCACAACGGUAAAAGAUGAGCAUGCGUCCCAUUAGCUAGUUGGUAAGGUAACGGCUUACCAAGGCUACGAUGGGUAGGGGUCCUGAGAGGGAGAUCCCCCACACUGGUACUGAGACACGGACCAGACUCCUACGGGAGGCAGCAGUGAGGAAUAUUGGACAAUGGGCGCAAGCCUGAUCCAGCCAUGCCGCGUGCAGGAUGACGGUCCUAUGGAUUGUAAACUGCUUUUAUACGAGAAGAAACACUACUUCGUGAAGUAGCUUGACGGUAUCGUAAGAAUAAGGAUCGGCUAACUCCGUGCCAGCAGCCGCGGUAAUACGGAGGAUCCAAGCGUUAUCCGGAAUCAUUGGGUUUAAAGGGUCCGUAGGCGGUUUAAUAAGUCAGUGGUGAAAGCCCAUCGCUCAACGGUGGAACGGCCAUUGAUACUGUUAGACUUGAAUUAUUAGGAAGUAACUAGAAUAUGUAGUGUAGCGGUGAAAUGCUUAGAGAUUACAUGGAAUACCAA
RNAcentral lists this ribosomal RNA (518 nucleotides) under Flavobacterium frigidimaris. Its description in RNAcentral is "bacterial SSU rRNA". It matches the Rfam family "Bacterial small subunit ribosomal RNA", at positions 194 to 712 of the family's 1533-position model. Lineage: Bacteria; Pseudomonadati; Bacteroidota; Flavobacteriia; Flavobacteriales; Flavobacteriaceae. The record is from RNAcentral.